AUGAACGCUGGCGGCGUGCCUAACACAUGCAAGUCGAACGGAGUCCAGCCUUUAAGACCUUCGGGUCAAAGAGGGGAAGACUGAGUGGCGGACGGGUGAGUAACACGUGGGCAACCUGGCUCAGAGAGGGGGAUAACAGAGAGAAAUUUCUGCUAAUACCGCAUAAGCACACACUGCCGCAUGGCAGAGGGUGAAAAGAGAAUCGCUAUGAGAUGGACCCGCGUCUGAUUAGCCAGUUGGCAGGGUAAGAGCCUACCAAAGCGACGAUCAGUAGCCGAUCUGAGAGGAUGAACGGCCACAUUGGGACUGAGACACGGCCCAAACUCCUACGGGAGGCAGCAGUGGGGGAUAUUGCACAAUGGGGGGAACCCUGAUGCAGCGACGCCGCGUGAGUGAAGAAGUAUUUCGGUAUGUAAAGCUCUAUCAGCAGGGAAGAUAAUGACAGUACCUGAAUAAGAAGCCCCGGCUAACUACGUG
Molecule: ribosomal RNA, 477 nt
Filed under: uncultured bacterium
Lineage: Bacteria
Description: partial 16S ribosomal RNA
Rfam family: Bacterial small subunit ribosomal RNA
Source: RNAcentral